This is a long non-coding RNA of Triticum aestivum (bread wheat), 541 nucleotides long. RefSeq lists it as uncharacterized. The transcript has 4 exons. NCBI's taxonomy places the organism in Eukaryota, Viridiplantae, Streptophyta, Magnoliopsida, Poales, Poaceae. The record is from RefSeq and is a predicted model, not a curated record.
CCAUCUCUUGGCUUUUAUAUCAAGGUUCCUAUUUGCUGUUGAAAUCUCAGAAGAAAUUUAUGGAAGGUUUGUCUAUCAUUUCCAAUUUAUAUUCGCAGGAUCAGCUGAAACAGCAAGGCUUGGGCAAGCAAAAGAAGAGACAGAGAGAGAUAGCCGAGCAUCAUGCCAAACGGAGGCCGAUUUCCAAGGAAGCUCGCUAAGACCAGCAGUGAUUCUGGCGCAAACGUCAAACGCCUUGAGCAAGAGACGAACAUAAAGAUCGAACAGCUGAAGCAGCAGGUAGCAAACAUCUCUCUAGAGGUGAUUCAGAUGCUUCUGAGAUGCUGGAACAUGCUUCCGUUUUCCUGACUCGUAUAGCAGAAUCGUUUGCUUCAUCUCCAGAGAAACUGGAUCAAUUGUGCAACCAUGGAUAGGCUGCACAAGCUCCUAGCUUAAUACUCCCUCCGCCCAAAAUAAGUGUCUCAACUUUGUACUAACUUUAGUACAAAGUUGUACUAAGCUUAUGACACUUAUUUGGGACCGAGGGAGUAGUUGUUAGCAA